This 45-nucleotide unclassified non-coding RNA is filed under the name Leuconostoc gasicomitatum. RNAcentral describes it as "Leuconostoc gelidum subsp. gasicomitatum RbcL_stabil". Lineage: Bacteria; Bacillati; Bacillota; Bacilli; Lactobacillales; Lactobacillaceae. The record is from RNAcentral.
AAAAAUACCAAAAAUGUUAAAAAACAUUUUUGGUAUUUUUAUUAA